UUGUUCGAUUUAACUUGUUCUCAGACUUCAGUUUUCCAGGCAGGGUUGGCUGAUUCCGGCAGGCGGGGGGGCCCUCCGCGAACAGAGGGGGUCCCUCCCGCCAGGCGCCGAAUCCGGGCCGCGGUUGCAAAGGGUGGGGGAUUGCGGCGCGAGGCCGUUUACCCGUUAAUGAUCCUUCCGCAGGUUCACCUACGGAAA
This 198-nucleotide unclassified non-coding RNA is filed under the name uncultured fungus. Its description in RNAcentral is "sequence contains ITS1". The record is from RNAcentral. Lineage: Eukaryota; Fungi.